RNAcentral lists this long non-coding RNA (1614 nucleotides) under Triticum aestivum (bread wheat). Its description in RNAcentral is "long non-coding RNA (TAES_LNC005764)". The record is from RNAcentral. Lineage: Eukaryota; Viridiplantae; Streptophyta; Magnoliopsida; Poales; Poaceae.
GGUUCCAAUAACGUCGUGUGUGUGAGGAUCCAUUCGACUACGUCCGUUUAUCUUCUUCAUGGACCCAUUCUUCUUCCUUGCGGGAUCUCAGGCAAGAUGACCAUACCCUCGAAAUCACUUCUAUCUUUGCUUGCUAGUUGCUCGCUUUGUUGCUAUGCCUAUGUUGCGAUACCUACCACUUGCUUAUCAUGCCUCCCAUAUUGAUAAGCCAAGCCUAUAACCCACCAUGUCCUAGCAAACCGUUGUUUCCUAUGUUACCGCUUUGCUCAGCCCCUCUUAUAGCGUUGUUAGUUGCAGGUGAAGAUUCGAGUUUGUUCCAUGUUGUAACAUGGUUAUUGUUGGGAUAUCACAAUAUCUCUUAUUUAAUUAAUGCAUCUAUAUACUUGGUAAAGAGUGGAAGGCUCGGCCUUAUGCCUGGUGUUUUGUUCCACUCUUGCCGCCCUAGUUUCCGUCAUAUCGGUGUUAUGUUCCCAGAUUUUGCGUUCCUUACGCGGUUGGGUUAUAAUGGGAACCCCUUGACAGUUUGCUUUGAAUAAAACUCCUCCAGCAAGGCCCAACCUUGAUUUUACCAUUCGCCACCUAGGCUUUUUCCCUUGGGAGUCGCGCAUCCCGAGGGUCAUCUUUAUUUUAACCCCCCGGGUCAGUGCUUGUCUAAGUGUUGGUCCAAACUAGAGCCACUUGCGGCGCCACCUCGAGGAAACUUGAGGGCUGGUUUUAGCUGUACGUAGUGUUCAUCCGGUGUUGCCCUGAGAACGAGAUAUGUGCAGCUCCUAUCAGGAUGUCGGCGCAUCGGGCGGUCUUGCUGGACUUGUUUUACCAUUGUCGAGGAUGCCUUGUAACCGGGAUGCCGAGUCUGAUCGGAUUGUCUUGGGAGAAGGAAUAUCCUUCGUUGACCGUGAGAGCUUGUGAUGGGCUAAGUUGGGACACCCCUGCAGGGAUUUGAACUUUCGAAAGCCGUGCCCGCGGUUAUGGGCAGAUGGGAAUUUGUUAAUGUCUGGUUGUAGAAAACCUGAAGUUGACCUUAAUUAAAAUACAUCAACCGCGUGUGUAACCGUGAUGGUCUCUUCUCGGCAGAGUCCGGGAAGUGAACAUGGUGUUGGAGUUAUGCUUGACGUAGGUUGUUCUAGGAUCACUUCUUGAUCAUAGUUGUUCGACCGUGCCUUUGCUCUCUCUUCUCGCUCUCAUUUGCGUAUGUUAGCCACCAUAUAUGCUAGUCGCUUGCUGCAGCUCCACCUCAUACCUUUUACCCUUCCUAUAAGCUUAAAUAGUCUUGAUCGCGAGGGUGUGAGAUGCUGAGUCCCCGUGACUCACAGAUACUUCCAGAACCAGUUUGCAGGUGCCGAGGAUACCAUGCAGAUGACGCAACCGAGCUCAAGGAGGAGCUCGAUGAAGAUCUUGUCCUUUGUGUUGUUUUGUUCCAAUUGAUCAGUAGUGGAGCCCAGUUGGGACGAUCGGGGAUCUGUGUAGCUUUUGGGGUAGUCUUCUUUUAUUUUGGUUCCGUAGUCGGACCUUGAUUGUAUCUGGUUGAUGUAAUGAUUUAUUCAUGUAAUUGUGUGAAGUGGCGAUUGUAAGCCAACUAUGUGUCUUUUUCCCUUAUGUAUUACAUGGGUUGUG